UACGUAGGGGGCAAGCGUUGUCCGGAUUUAUUGGGCGUAAAGAGCGUGUAGGCGGCCUGAAAGGUCAGCUGUGAAAACUCGAGGCUCAACCUCGAGACGUCGGGUUGAAACCAUCUGGCUAGAGUCCGGAAGAGGAGUGUGGAAUUCCCGGUGUAGCGGUGAAAUGCGCCAGAUAUCGGGAAGAACACCGGUGGCGAAGGCGGCACUCUGGACGGU
RNAcentral lists this ribosomal RNA (216 nucleotides) under uncultured bacterium. RNAcentral describes it as "partial 16S ribosomal RNA". It matches the Rfam family "Bacterial small subunit ribosomal RNA", at positions 524 to 738 of the family's 1533-position model. The record is from RNAcentral.